GUAGCUUGAUAAUAGGGUCCCUUGAGAAUCCGCCGGCUUAACUGGCGGGCGUUCAGGGGAAACUUGUUUUCUAGGGACCGGGAGAGGUGAGGGGUACUGCCGGGGUAGGAGUGAAAUCCUGUAAUCCCGGUGGGACCACCUAUGGCGAAGGCAUCUCACCAGAACGGGUCCGACAGUGAGGGACGAAAGCUGGGGGAGCAAACCGGAUUAGAUACCCGGGUAGUCCCAGCUGUAAACUAUGUGCGUUAGGUGUGUCAGUGACCACGUGUCACUGAGGUGCCGAAGGGAAACCGUGAAACGCACCGCCUGGGGAGUACGGUCGCAAGGCUGAAACUUAAAGGAAUUGGCGGGGGAGCACCACAACGGGUGGAGCCUGCGGUUUAAUCGGACUCAACGCCGGGAAUCUCACCGGAUAAGACAGCUGAAUGAUAGUCGGGAUGAAGACUCUACUUGACUAGCUGAGAGGAGGUGCAUGGCCGUCGUCAGUUCGUACUGUGAAGCAUCCUGUUUAGUCAGGCAACGAGCGAGACCCACGCGAGCAGUUGCCAGCUUGACCUUCGGGUUGAUGGGGACACUGCUCGGACCGCCCCUGCUAAAGGGGAGGAAGGACUGGGCAACGGUAGGUCAGCAUGCCCCGAAUUAUCCGGGCUACACGCGGGCUACAAUGGACAGGACAAUGAGUUUCGACACCGAGAGGUGAGGAUAAUCUUCUAACCCUGUCCCAAGUUCGGAUUGCGGGUUGUAACUCACCCGCAUGAAGCUGGAAUCCGUAGUAAUCGCGUUUCAACGUACCGCGGUGAAUAUGUCCCUGCUCCUUGCACUCACCGCCCGU
Molecule: ribosomal RNA, 832 nt
Filed under: uncultured prokaryote
Description: bacterial SSU rRNA
Rfam family: Archaeal small subunit ribosomal RNA
Source: RNAcentral